CUCUUUUCACAAUUCUUUAAAGGUGUUUUUCGUCUUUCGGUCUGCCCUUAUCAUUUCUAGUGUAUAGAGUUCCCUCUUCGAUUCACCGCAACCACUGUAUACAGAGAGCGCCGUCUCACCUCUCAGAUAAGAACUGUGUACAUUCACAUAGUGCUCUCUGCAAACAGCUGGUCGUCAGAAAACAUCUUAUUGUCAGCUGAAAAAACCUAUAGCAAACAGAAGAAUACAAAAAAAAAUAUACGUCGAUUCUGCCUGAAUAGGUUUCUUUGUGGAAUCCAACUAGUCUUGUUUUUAAAAUAUAUCCAUGGAUAGACCUAUACCUGACGACAGAGUGUUUUUUUCAGGUGGCUCUGGAAGUGGAACGAAAGUGUUAAUCACAACUUGUCGUGGAAUUCGGAUUAGUAAUUGUCCCUUGAUCCGCCAUCCUCUCUAUUAAACAAAUGAGUGUGCUUUGGAUUUGUAGUGAAACCUUUUGUCAACUGAUUCACGGAUCUUGCAGUCGGUCCAAGUGGAACACACAAUAUUGAUUGCUGGGCAUCAUGCCACAGAAGCGUGUUACCACAUUUCUUACCAUAAAUGUUUUAAUGAAAAGAUCUUGUGUCUUUUUCACGUAACUGGCGGUGACAAACCUUGGGAACCUCUUGAGAUGGUAUUUGAAAGCAAGAACAAUAAAACAAAAAGAGGCUUUAUUAUUAUUGUUUUAUGUCACAAUAUUAAAACUGUUCAGCUGGAGAAUGUGGGUGAGAGAGAUAAAAAUAUGCAAAGGCAACUGCAUUUAAUACUAUGGUCACCACAGUGUACGGGGAUUUUCGUUUUGACAGACGAAACAAGUGAAUUAUUAUUAUACUGCUAUUGAAUGGCUCAGGAAUUACGGCCAUGUGGCAACAGCUUUUCUCAUCACGCACGUAAAAAAAACAUAUUUGAAAGUUUUAGUUGCACAUAUGAAAUUAUAUUGAGCGAGUGGGACUCUGCUGUAAGCAACUGGACGUCAUUGCCCGUUUUAUUUCGUCUUGCUGUUUUUAUUCAGGUUCUUCUGAUGUGUUGUUUUUUUAUUUUCACCUUUUAUAUGCUUUUGUUUAUUUCGCUUUCUUUUCUUUUAUUGGGUGUCUUUUAGGCAACGACCGAAACGACAUUGGCUACAGGAAACUCUUCGUGGAUAGAAGAUAGGAAUGGAUGUCAUGAUGGAAGUUAGAAAAACAUAACGACGAACGGCCCAAUGACCGGCGAAUGUUUUAUUUAUCACCAUGCGGCAGUCACAGUAUUCAUUCGACACUUCCAGCCUGCCCAGUUCUUUUUUUUAGUCUUUUAACCCUGUAGAAAAAAUCUCUGUUACUUUGAUGUAUUCUAUUGCUAAAAAAUUUUUUUUUCAAUGAAACAAAACCCGUUUCGACCUGGGUUAUACAACUGAAAGUGAGUUGACGCAAGCACCGCCAAAGACCCACAGGAAAUCGUUCGAAGACUGUUAAAGUGAAACUUUUAUGAUUUUUGGCAUCAAGGUGUCUGAAUGACAUGUCUGAGACUACCAAAUCUUAAUUUUGGGCAUUAAAAAACGAGAGUAUUUAGUGUACUACCUUAAAGCUGUUAAGAUACCAUUUCUCCGCUGAAUAUGCACGUUUUGAUCGGAAGCUGCAGGGCAAACGAAUAUUUUCUAUUAGGAAAAUGAUAAAAAAAACCAUUGGAAUAUGAAGCUGGUUCAAAGUUUUCUAGAUUGGAUUGCAUAAUAUAAAAACAAAUGUAAAAAUGUUUGAUUGGUUUUCUUACAUAUAACCCCUGGAGUCUGUGGAGGCAUUUUGGUUUACCGAGAUUCAUAACAGAGUGGCUCCGGAUUGUUCCUCUUCUCUUUAGAGAAGAUUUCUAGGGGAACAAUGCUGUGACUCUAUUUCGAUGCUUACGCCCUAAAUGUCUAUUUUAUCUUGAACAAACUGUAAGAUAACUUAGGUUAGGGACACACAUUUUUGGAUUUCUUUUAUGUAACUAUAGCGUUUCCCUGCAUUAGAAUAAAAUAGCAUUUUAAAAAACAAA
This is a long non-coding RNA of Daphnia magna, 2022 nucleotides long. RefSeq lists it as uncharacterized. The record is from RefSeq and is a predicted model, not a curated record. The transcript has 2 exons. NCBI's taxonomy places the organism in Eukaryota, Metazoa, Arthropoda, Branchiopoda, Diplostraca, Daphniidae.